GUUUUUUUCGACUGCUGAAAGGAGGACUUGUAUAUGUAGUAAACUGUAUAGAUACAAAAUAGUAUACGCAUAUCCUGUAUCCUGCUUUCAUUGGAAGAGAACAUAUCCAUUUAAAUUAUUUUUACAUUAAUUGCAGUUUUGUAAAUUACUACUUGCUACGAAAAUGGAGAAAACUCUGAAAACAUCUUCUUUUUCUCGCAUUUGAAUUAAAGCUCAUACAAAUAAAUAUUACACAUUUCGAAAAUAAACGAAUUUUGUCUUUGCAAUUUGCACUAUUGACUGUAAAGGGAGGUGUUCUUUUAAUUGGUAAACUGUGAGAAAAAUUAAACAACACCAAUGAUUCAAAUAUUUAAUACGUCCGAAUUGAUAAAAACUCAUUUCCAGGAAAUAUAGCAUUUGGUGACACCUAAAUUACCUUUUUAACAAUUAAAACGUGGUCGGUCUUAUAAAUUUAGAAACAAUGACUUAAGCCAACCGGUAAAUCAUGAAGCCUAUCACAUAUUUAUACAUAUUAGCUUACUAGCCUUUGCAAAAGGACAUGUUCUUUAACAUCCAUGUACAUUCACGUUUUAAGCCGUAUAAUUGUACCAUUUUGGUCCAUCGCACUUUAGCGUGAUACGCCAUCGUACUUUAGCAAACAAACAACCAUCGCACUUUAGCGUAAGGCACCACCGUACUUUAACGUAUUCCAUCGCACUUUAGCGCGGCCAUCGCACUUUAGAGUCCUACAUAUAUACAUACACACUUUUAUUUCAUCAAUUACAAUAAAUCACUUUAUAUGAUAAACACAAAGUUUUAAAAUCUUUCUGUUUUCAAUUCAACCGCUUGGUUCUGGUAUAUUUCCCCCUUUUCUAUUUUUCCUGAUAACGGACAAAAUCAUAAAAAAUUUCCCCCUUCUUUUUCAGACCUCAUUGCUGCCAACCUGCUAAUUACUGAUCCUUUUUUUUUUAUUUUUUCCUGCACCUCGAGUAAAGACAAGUUGAAUCUGUCCUUGACAUCAACAUAGAACACUUCAUAGUGUCCUUAAAAAUCAUCUGUUUUGAACAAUGAACAUCAUGAUAAAAAAUGUAAAGUUAGUCUACGAACAGUAUGGGCAUCAUUAUAAAAACAAAUGUAAAGCUAGCCAUCGCACAGUAUGUGUAUGGAACACAGGGAAGGUAGCACAGUGAAUUUUAAAUACUUUCAUAUAUAACUGCCAAGUGAAAUGACAAAGAUAGCCAUGGUUUUUCAUACUAAUUUUCUACGUAUGACACUGACCAAGAGUGUAAGAACUGGUAUCCCCCCCCUAACCAAAGUAUCAUGCCUUAACAUGUACAAAUUAAAAAAAAAAUCCCC
Molecule: long non-coding RNA, 1335 nt
Filed under: Mytilus galloprovincialis (Mediterranean mussel)
Lineage: Eukaryota; Metazoa; Mollusca; Bivalvia; Mytilida; Mytilidae
Source: RNAcentral